GCCAGGUGCUGUGGGGCACGCCUGUAAUCCCAGCGGCUCGGGAGGCUGAGGCAGGAGGAUCGUGAGUUCAAAGCCAGCCUCAGCAACAGCGAGGAACUCAACAACUCAGGGAGACCCUGUCUCUA
RNAcentral lists this small RNA (125 nucleotides) under Marmota monax (woodchuck). Lineage: Eukaryota; Metazoa; Chordata; Mammalia; Rodentia; Sciuridae. The record is from RNAcentral.